RNAcentral lists this ribosomal RNA (253 nucleotides) under uncultured bacterium. RNAcentral's name for it is "partial 16S ribosomal RNA". It matches the Rfam family "Bacterial small subunit ribosomal RNA", at positions 524 to 776 of the family's 1533-position model. The record is from RNAcentral.
UACGUAGGGGGCGAGCGUUGUCCGGAAUCAUUGGGCGUAAAGAGCGUGUAGGCGGCUCGGUAAGUCCGCCGUGAAAACCUGAGGCUCAACCUCAGGCUUGCGGUGGAUACUGUCGGGCUAGAGGAUGGUAGAGGCGAGUGGAAUUCCCGGUGUAGCGGUGAAAUGCGCAGAUAUCGGGAGGAACACCGGUAGCGAAGGCGGCUCGCUGGGCCAUUCCUGACGCUGAGACGCGAAAGCUAGGGGAGCGAACAGG